RNAcentral lists this long non-coding RNA (559 nucleotides) under Ananas comosus (pineapple). RNAcentral describes it as "long non-coding RNA (ACOM_LNC023704)". The record is from RNAcentral. Lineage: Eukaryota; Viridiplantae; Streptophyta; Magnoliopsida; Poales; Bromeliaceae.
AAAUUAAUUAGAUAAUAUCUAAAAAAGAUAUUUUAAAAUAAAAUAGAAAAAUAUUUUUAUAGGAUUUUCACACCCGUAAUCUGUUAUAGAAAACUUACUUUUGAAAUUAAAUAGAAAAAUUUAUAUUUUAGGAUUUUCACAUCAGUAAUCUGUUAUAGAGAACUUACGUAUUCAUUGCUAUUUCUAUUUCUAUUUUUAUUCUUAUAUUUAAAAUUUUUCUUACGGAAAGAGGAAAAUGAGCGCUAAUUUUUCCGCUAAAAAUGGGUCUGUCGACAGACCCAAAUUUGAAUAUACGUGCUUUUAUAUAUAGUAUAGAUAUAUAUAGAAUUAGGCUGGAAUACUAUUAAUAGUAAAACGUUCUUUUUGCUAUCAAGUUUUUAACCCUUAGAUGAAAAAUUAUAGGGUCGAAAUGAUAUUAGUCGGUUAGAGUUGAGUGGUCCCCCUAGGGUUGAGUUGUCCCUACUGGGUUAUAGUAUUUAAUCCAAUGGUUAGAAAUAAUGAAAAGAGUUGAUCCAAAGGCUAAAAAACUGGUAGCAACAAUGGGAUUUUGCUACUAAUU